This 292-nucleotide long non-coding RNA is filed under the name Citrus x clementina. RNAcentral describes it as "Citrus clementina (C. clementina) long non-coding RNA (CCLE_LNC000085)". The record is from RNAcentral. Lineage: Eukaryota; Viridiplantae; Streptophyta; Magnoliopsida; Sapindales; Rutaceae.
AAAUAAAAUUAAUAAAAUAUUUUAGAGAUGCUCUAACAAAUAGCAUAUAUUUAAAUCAAGCCAGCUUAAAAUUCUACACAGUUAAAAAAAUAAAAUCUACCGCUGCCACCACUAGGGAUGGCAAAAAUCCCCACGGGGACGGGUACCCUCGGGGAUUUUCCCCAUUCGGGGAGGGUAUGAGGAUAAUUUCAUACCCAAUUUCUUAUUCGGGGAGGGGACAGGGAAAUUUUUUUACCCAAUUUCUUAUUCGGGGAGGGGAUGGGGAUGAGGUGGAAUCCCCAUCCCCUACCCA